This is a non-coding RNA of Oncorhynchus mykiss (rainbow trout), 1878 nucleotides long. NCBI's taxonomy places the organism in Eukaryota, Metazoa, Chordata, Actinopteri, Salmoniformes, Salmonidae. The record is from RefSeq and is a predicted model, not a curated record.
GCAUAUAUUAGCAUCUUGGACAGAGUAGGAGGCAGUUCACUAUGGGCACGCAAUUCAUCCAAAGUGAAAAUGCUGCCCCCUAUCCCUAAAAGGUUUUAACCCACACUGCCUGCUAAUUAUCUAUAGGCUGUGUUUCAACUGGCCAAUUUCAAAUAAUUUUCAAACAGUUUGAAUUGAGGUGUCUUCCAAUUCCUUAUUAAUUCACAUAAAGUAUCCCAUUUCACUGUGUCGGAGAAUUUACGUUUGAGGCACUACGAUGAACCGGACAAAUUUCUCUCUUUGAUGAGAGCCCAAGCACUUCCCCAGUGUUGCCCUGGUCACGUAUGCAGACAUUUGAGCAUCUCCGAUCAGAAAAGAAAUGCUAACUUUUUCCUCCUGACGCCUGAAUUACCUUCAUUGUUGUUUUCCUUACAAAUAAUAACUUUGGACUUGUGUGCAUUUCUAUCAAAGUAAGUGACUUAUUACAUUAUAGUUUGUGUAUCGUGUUGUCGUUUCUACUGUAGCACACCGUAUAUAUAUGUAUGGAGCAUAAUGUAUUCUGUGUGCAUUCCUUUAUAACCGUGGACAUGCAAGGAACUUAAUUUCUUAACCUUUAUGGUGUUCUACUCAAUUGGGCUUAUGUUACUAGCUACAUUCUUCUAUUAUCUUUGUAAAACAAUGCUGCUGUUGCACUCCACAAGGAGAAGUAUUUGCUUGUGUUGUAUCCUUUGAAGCUGCCCUGGCCUCAUGGCCUGUGUAUUUUAGCUCUGCUGGGCCCUGCCUCCUUGUGGAGCUCAACAGUUACUGUUAUUCAUAUUUGUGAUUUUGUCAAUGCAAUUUAUUACUUUUAUAGCAGGGUUAUGUUACUACUUUAAUUGUUUUAUUGCUAUAUCCUGAUGCUGUAUUGUAAUUUAGUAAUAAUUCCUCUUUAUUCUGUGCCACACACAAACAUAAUUUGCCGCUGACGAUUAAGGCCAGCUUUUGUAUGCUAGCAACAUACAGUUUAAACAGACACUCCUUUGCUUGGGGAAAAAACAGCAAGAAAAGACUGACAACUUAUUAAUAUGCAUAACCCAUAUUUCAAUAUUCAUGUAGUGAUUUGAACUGCAUUCCCACCCAUCCACCCCAAAAGUCAUAGUAUCAUGGAAUGUCAGUUAGUCAUUGCUGCAAAUGUGCUAAAUAGUGCUUGAGUGUACGGUACGACACAGGGGUGUGUCACAAGCUGAACACGUGUACUUUGUCAACAACCUUUGCUUCCUUCUCAUGGUGCCAGACAGUCAGAUUUGCAGUGCCUCCGUGUGCGACUGUCUUGAGCAGCAGUUUGAAAGAAUGCCUUGCGGUGAGGCGUAGGGGAUUGUCUACAGCAGGACAGCCCCCAGUGGAGGUUCUCUCUGUACUUUUGGUGGUCCACCUUCCCUGUGGCCGACAAUGUCGCUGUAUAGACAGCGGAGAGGAUAUGGACGUCUCAAUGGCAAGGGGUUAUGCACUCCAGACUGGGACUCAUAAGCAAACCGCAGUGCCAGGAGUGGUGAAAUGGCUCGCGGCCUUCCAGCUACCACAGACCUCUUGUACUUCAUCUUCGUCGGUCUGCCUCCAUCACCACCAGCAUCUUCAGAGGGGCAUGGGACUUUGUCGGUGGGCAAGGGGUCCUCAGAUUUAGGGUUAUCAAUGGCCACAAGGAUGGGAAGCAGAUCCUCACCAUCAGAAUCUGAUUUUCAGACUCACUGUCAGAAUUUCCACAUUUGUGAGUGGUCUCCUUUUGAAAGAUAUUGCUAAUGCUACAGCUUAGCCCACUAGCUACAUACAUAAACAAGACUGAAUGGCUGAUUAGGUGUCAGACUAAUUACGUGAUUGACUGCUGGCACGUGCCACUUGUAUCAAUAAAUCAUCAGAAAAUGG